This 442-nucleotide ribosomal RNA is filed under the name uncultured Acidimicrobiales bacterium. Its description in RNAcentral is "bacterial SSU rRNA". It matches the Rfam family "Bacterial small subunit ribosomal RNA", at positions 337 to 795 of the family's 1533-position model. Lineage: Bacteria; Bacillati; Actinomycetota; Acidimicrobiia; Acidimicrobiales. The record is from RNAcentral.
GCCUACGGGAGGCUGCAGUGGGGAAUCUUGCGCAAUGGGCGAAAGCCUGACGCAGCAACGCCGCGUGGGGGAUGAAGGCUCUCGGGUUGUAAACCCCUUUCAGCAGGGACGAAUCAAGACGGUACCUGCAGAAGAAGCCCCGGCUAACUACGUGCCAGCAGCCGCGGUAACACGUAGGGGGCAAGCGUUGUCCGGAUUUAUUGGGCGUAAAGAGCUCGUAGGCGGCUGAGUAAGUCGGAUGUUAAAUCCCCAGGCUCAACCUGGGACACCACCCGAUACUGCUCUGGCUAGAGUCCGGUAGGGGAGCAUGGAAUUCCUGGUGUAGCGGUGAAAUGCGCAGAUAUCAGGAGGAACACCAGCGGCGAAGGCGGUGCUCUGGGCCGGAACUGACGCUGAGGAGCGAAAGCGUGGGUAGCAAACAGGAUUAGAUACCCCUGUAGUC